AAUAGAUACCCGGGUAGUCCACGCCGUAAACGAUGAAUACUAGGUGUAGGGGUUGUCAUGACCUCUGUGCCGCCGCUAACGCAUUAAGUAUUCCGCCUGGGGAGUACGGUCGCAAGAUUAAACUCAAAGGAAUUGACGGGGGCCCGCACAAGCAGCGGAGCAUGUGGUUUAAUUCGAAGCAACGCGAAGAACCUUACCUAGACUUGACAUCUCCUGAAUUACUCUGUAAUGGAGGAAGCCACUUCGGUGGCAGGAAGACAGGUGGUGCAUGGUUGUCGUCAGCUCGUGUCGUGAGAUGUUGGGUUAAGUCCCGCAACGAGCGCAACCCUUAUUGUUAGUUGCUACCAUUUAGUUGAGCACUCUAGCGAGACUGGCCCGGGUUAACCGGGAGGAAGGUGGGGAUGACGUCAAAUCAUCAUGCCCCUUAUGUCUAGGGCUACACACGUGCUACAAUGGUCGGUACAAUGAGAUGCAACCUCGCGAGAGUGAGCAAAAACUNUAAAAACCGAUCUCAGUUCGGAUUGUAGGCUGAAA
This 534-nucleotide ribosomal RNA is filed under the name uncultured bacterium. RNAcentral's name for it is "bacterial SSU rRNA". It matches the Rfam family "Bacterial small subunit ribosomal RNA", at positions 777 to 1310 of the family's 1533-position model. The record is from RNAcentral.